RNAcentral lists this long non-coding RNA (329 nucleotides) under Equus caballus (horse). RNAcentral's name for it is "lncRNA (ENSECAG00000051814.1)". The record is from RNAcentral. Lineage: Eukaryota; Metazoa; Chordata; Mammalia; Perissodactyla; Equidae.
CCUGUUGAAAGAAGCUGUGUUGUGAGGGUCUCUCACAAGGCUGCAGACAAGGUGUUGGUCCAUGCUGCAGUCUCAUCUCAAGGUUCCACCAGGAAAAGAUGUACGUCCAAGCUCACAUGGUUGUUGGCAGAAUUCACUUCCUUACAAGCUGUUGGACUGAGGGCCUCAGUUCCUUGCCAUGUGGGCCUCUCCAUAGGUCAGCUCACAACAUUAACAGCUCGCUUCAUCAAAGGCAGAAACAGAGAGUCUGCUGGAAGAUUAGCCCUGAGCUAACUGCUGCCAAUCCUCCUCUUUUCGCUGAGGAAGACUGGCCCUGAGCUAACAUCCGU